RNAcentral lists this ribosomal RNA (459 nucleotides) under uncultured bacterium. RNAcentral describes it as "partial 16S ribosomal RNA". It matches the Rfam family "Bacterial small subunit ribosomal RNA", at positions 338 to 795 of the family's 1533-position model. The record is from RNAcentral.
CCUACGGGGGGCAGCAGUGAGGAAUAUUGGGCAAUGGCCGGAAGGCUGAACCAGCCAAGCCGCGUGAAGGACGAAGGUGCCAAGCAUUGUAAACUUCUUUUGUCAAGGGACAAAAUCAGGCUCGAGAGCCUGACCGAGGGUACUUGAAGAAAAAGCAUCGGCUAACUCCGUGCCAGCAGCCGCGGUAAUACGGAGGAUGCGAGCGUUAUCGGGAUUUAUGGGGUUGAAAGGGGGGGGAGGGGGACUGUUAAGGCGGGGGUAAAAGCCCGGGGCUCAAACCCGGCGAGCCGUUGAAACUGGCUGUCUUGAGAUGUCGAGAGGUAUGCGGAAUGCGCAGUGUAGCGGUGAAAUGCUUAGAUAUUGCGAGGAACUCCGAUUGCGAAGGCAGCAUACCGGCGGCGAUCUGACGCUGAGGCACGAAAGCGUGGGUAUCGAACAGGAUUAGAUACCCUAGUAGUC